Molecule: ribosomal RNA, 253 nt
Filed under: uncultured bacterium
Lineage: Bacteria
Description: partial 16S ribosomal RNA
Rfam family: Bacterial small subunit ribosomal RNA
Source: RNAcentral
UACGUAGGGCGCAAGCGUUGUCCGGAAUCAUUGGGCGUAAAGCGCGCGUAGGCGGUUACUUAUGUCGGAUGUGAAAGCCCUCGGCUUAACUGAGGAAGUGCAUUCGAAACUGGGUAGCUAGAGUACUAAAGAGGGUCGCGGAAUUCCCGGUGUAGAGGUGAAAUUCGUAGAUAUUGGGAAGAACACCGGUGGCGAAGGCGGCUCUCUGGACCGAGACUGACGCUGAGGCGCGAAAGCGUGGGGAGCAAACAGG